UGCAAGUCGAACGGUAACAGGAAGCAGCUUGCUGCUUCGCUGACGAGUGGCGGACGGGUGAGUAAUGUCUGGGGAUCUGCCUGAUGGAGGGGGAUAACUACUGGAAACGGUAGCUAAUACCGCAUAACGUCGCAAGACCAAAGAGGGGGACCUUCGGGCCUCUUGCCAUCAGAUGAACCCAGAUGGGAUUAGCUAGUAGGUGGGGUAACGGCUCACCUAGGCGACGAUCCCUAGCUGGUCUGAGAGGAUGACCAGCCACACUGGAACUGAGACACGGUCCAGACUCCUACGGGAGGCAGCAGUGGGGAAUAUUGCACAAUGGGCGCAAGCCUGAUGCAGCCAUGCCGCGUGUAUGAAGAAGGCCUUCGGGUUGUAAAGUACUUUCAGCGAGGAGGAAGGUGGUGAGUUUAAUACGCUCAUCAAUUGACGUUACUCGCAGAAGAAGCACCGGCUAACUCCGUGCCAGCAGCCGCGGUAAUACGGAGGGUGCAAGCGUUAAUCGGAAUUACUGGGCGUAAAGCGCACGCAGGCGGUCUGUCAAGUCGGAUGUGAAAUCCCCGGGCUCAACCUGGGAACUGCAUCCGAAACUGGCAGGCUUGAGUCUYGUAGAGGGGGGUARAAUUCCAGGUGUAGCGGUGAAAUGCGUAGAGAUCUGGAGGAAUACCGGUGGCGAAGGCGGCCCCCUGGACRAARACUGACGCUCAGGUGCGAAAGCGUGKGGAGCAAACAGGAUUAGAUACCCUGGUAGUCCACGCCGUAAACGAUGUCGACUUGGAGGUUGUUCCCUUGAGGAGUGGCUUCCGGAGCUAACGCGUUAAGUCGACCGCCUGGGGAGUACGGCCGCAAGGUUAAAACUCAAAUGAAUUGACGGGGGCCCGCACAAGCGGUGGAGCAUGUGGUUUAAUUCGAUGCAACGCGAAGAACCUUACCUGGCCUUGACAUCCAGAGAAUUUGGCAGAGAUGCUUUAGUGCCUUCGGGAACUGUGAGACAGGUGCUGCAUGGCUGUCGUCAGCUCGUGUUGUGAAAUGUUGGGUUAAGUCCCGCAACGAGCGCAACCCUUAUCCUUUGUUGCCAGCGAUUCGGUCGGGAACUCAAAGGAGACUGCCGGUGAUAAACCGGAGGAAGGUGGGGAUGACGUCAAGUCAUCAUGGCCCUUACGGCCAGGGCUACACACGUGCUACAAUGGCGUAUACAAAGAGAAGCGACCUCGCGAGAGCAAGCGGACCUCAUAAAGUACGUCGUAGUCCGGAUUGGAGUCUGCAACUCGACUCCAUGAAGUCGGAAUCGCUAGUAAUCGUGGAUCAGAAUGCCACGGUGAAUACGUUCCCGGGCCUUGUACACACCGCCCGUCACACCAUGGGAGUGGGUUGCAAAAGAAGUAGGUAGCUUAACCUUCGGGAGG
Molecule: ribosomal RNA, 1403 nt
Filed under: Enterobacteriaceae bacterium
Lineage: Bacteria; Pseudomonadati; Pseudomonadota; Gammaproteobacteria; Enterobacterales; Enterobacteriaceae
Description: bacterial SSU rRNA
Rfam family: Bacterial small subunit ribosomal RNA
Source: RNAcentral